UUGUGAUUGAUUCCCGGCUCAGGACGAACGCGGGCGGCGUGCCUAAUACACGCAAGUCGAGCGGACAUCAUAUGAGCUUGCUCUUAUGAGGUUAGCGGCGGACGGGUGAGUAACACGUGGGCAACCUGCCCCGUAGAGUGGGAUAAGUUCGGGAAACCGGAGCUAAUACCGGAUAAUCAAUGACACCACACGGUGUCAUUGUAAAAGUUGGGUUUACCUAACACUACAGGAUGGGCCCGCGGCGCAUUAGCUAGUUGGUGAGGUAACGGCUCACCAAGGCGACGAUGCGUAGCCGACCUGAGAGGGUGAUCGGCCACACUGGGACUGAGACACGGCCCAGACUCCUACGGGAGGCAGCAGUAGGGAAUCUUCCGCAAUGGACGAAAGUCUGACGGAGCAACGCCGCGUGAGUGAUGAAGGCCUUCGGGUCGUAAAGCUCUGUUGUUAGGGAAGAACAAGUACCGUUCGAAUAGGGCGGUACCUGACCGGUACCUACCAAAGCCG
This 504-nucleotide ribosomal RNA is filed under the name Bacillus sp. M9-C3. RNAcentral describes it as "bacterial SSU rRNA". It matches the Rfam family "Bacterial small subunit ribosomal RNA", at positions 1 to 493 of the family's 1533-position model. The record is from RNAcentral. Lineage: Bacteria; Bacillati; Bacillota; Bacilli; Caryophanales; Bacillaceae.